RNAcentral lists this unclassified non-coding RNA (211 nucleotides) under Hevea brasiliensis (rubber tree). The record is from RNAcentral. Lineage: Eukaryota; Viridiplantae; Streptophyta; Magnoliopsida; Malpighiales; Euphorbiaceae.
AAAAAAAAAAAUGCUCUGGGUCCCCAUGUGUGCUAUUACUCUCCUGAUUUUUUGAUACAUGAACUCUCUUUUUACCAUUUUGUAACUUGAGAACUCUCUAUCUAUACUUUAGUGUAUUAUCGAAAGUCGAUUGUAAUGUUGUGUUCUUGCUGUUGUGCUACUUAUUUUAUUGUUUCUUGAUGUUGAUAGGAGCAUUAUGUCAUUGAGAUGU